UACAGAGGGUGCGAGCGUUAAUCGGAAUUAUUGGGCGUAAAGAGCUCGUAGGCGGUGUGUCGCGUCGGCCGUGAAAACCUGCAGCUUAACUGUGGGCUUGCGGUCGAUACGGGCAUCACUGGAGUUCGGCAGGGGAGACUGGAAUUCCUGGUGUAGCGGUGAAAUGCGCAGAUAUCAGGAGGAACACCGGUGGCGAAGGCGGAUCUCUGGGCCAUUACUGACGCUGAGGAGCGAAAGCGUGGGGAGCGAACAGG
Molecule: ribosomal RNA, 254 nt
Filed under: uncultured bacterium
Lineage: Bacteria
Description: partial 16S ribosomal RNA
Rfam family: Bacterial small subunit ribosomal RNA
Source: RNAcentral